UAUCAGUGGUGGUGGAGCCAACCCAGGAUGCAGAACUGGUGGGCUGGUGACCCCUGUGGCAUUUGCAUGCGCUGAUCGUGGGAGGAGUUUUUGAAGGGCCAGAGGUACUAAGGUAGCAGAGAAAAGGAAGGAAAUGGGAAGACUGUCCCUGCCAGUCUCCUCACCUUGCCCAGCGCCUCCCAAUUGUGCAGGGUAAUGGUGCAGGAGACUUUUACCUUCUGUGGAGAGAAGGGUUAGGACAGAAAGCCAAAGGAGCAGCUUCAGUGAAAGUUCUGGUGAAAUUCUUGACACCACUGAGACUGUGGCAGCCAAGCACAGCCAAGCUGGGAAAGAGGGCUCAUCACUCCUGUUUCUGUAACCACAACAUACCAGCGGGACCUGGCAGGGACUAAAGCUGCAGGGAACAACUGCAGUGGCCAUCCUCCUGGCAUAAGACCUGCUCUCACGAGAGGCACCAGCAUCAGCAGAGGCCAGUAGCCUCCCUCGAGGACUUGUGCACCACGGGCUUCCCUGAGACGAUCAAGUAGAAGACCUCGAGGAUACUCUGGCUGAGUACCUGUCAGUUGUCCCUGGAGACUCACAGAAACAGCUGCAGGAGACUUUAAAUGGUUGUGGGGUUGAAAUCCUUCAUUCUUCUAAAGAAGUUCCAGUGUCAAUGUGAAUAUCACUUCUUUUGUUCUGUCCACAGAGAGAAAUGAGAGACACUCAGACACACAUUCCACAAUCAGUAGACAAACGAUCCAAACCUUUAUGCCGAUUCUGUCAGGUGUCUAGCAGUGACCAGGUCCUGGCAAACGAAAUGGAAGCCGGAGAAAUAUGUGCUGCUUCUAGGCCCGGCCCAUAAUAAUCUCCCACUUGCUAUGUCCUGCCUCUGUUUCCACCUCUCAGCUGAAUAGUGACGAUUCCAAAGACCUAGGUAGAGGAGGCCAUACAAUGUAGUUCACGAAAUGGAAGGAGCCCAGCUCCUGAAUUUUUCCUCAAAGAAAGCUACCAGACCACAAAUAGUCACCUUGGCAGAGCACAGGCCUGGCCAUGGAAACCUCUCAUGCAUACAUGCUUCUAGCUGGUUGGGAAGGAGGCAGCCACAUGGUGAAGAUGAUGACACUUUCUUCAGCCUGAGCUCUACAUG
This is a long non-coding RNA of Bos taurus (domestic cattle), 1129 nucleotides long. The record is from Ensembl. NCBI's taxonomy places the organism in Eukaryota, Metazoa, Chordata, Mammalia, Artiodactyla, Bovidae.